This is a long non-coding RNA of Sapajus apella (tufted capuchin), 3237 nucleotides long. RefSeq lists it as uncharacterized. The transcript is spliced from 3 exons. The record is from RefSeq and is a predicted model, not a curated record. Lineage: Eukaryota; Metazoa; Chordata; Mammalia; Primates; Cebidae.
UCUGUUGCCCAGGCUGGAUGCAGAAGCAUGAUCAUGGCUCGUUGCAGCCACAACCUCUCAGGCUCAAGCGAUUCUCUCACCUUAGCCUCCUGAGCGGCUGGGACUACAGAUGUGCACCAUGCCCACCUCAAUUUUUUUUUUUUUAAGAGAUGAGGUUUUACUACAUUUCCCAGCCUGGUGUCAAACUCCUGGCCUCAAUCCUCCCACCUCAGCCUCCCAAAAGUGUUGGGAUUAUAGGCGUGAGCCCCUGCAUCCGAGUACCACUUUAUAAAAAUUUUUUUUAAAAAAAGUUUUUUGUGAGUGCUAUUGUACAUGGCUAGGUUUCAAAGAGCCCUUGGCCAUCCCUCACCAACCUUUGAUGAAAGGUGGUGUUAGUCCCCUUCUCCAGGCCACAUUAGAAAAAUAGGCCUGACAUCAGGCCUCGGGGUUUCUCUCACAGGCCUUGGCUUGGAAGGCUGGAGCUUCAGACCAAGGCGCAGCCCUGAAACCUCCUCUUCAUGUGACCUGGAGCCCUGGGAGCAACACUGUCCUCAUCUGUCCAAUGACAGCCCUUUUCUCACAGAGUUGUUGUGAAGAUUCAACAAUUUCUUGGCAUAGUGCCUGGCACGUGGUAUGUGCUUAGCUCAAACGGCCGCUCUCAUCAUGAAUGAGACUGUUUCACCCUGCUGGCCCCUGGUUGGCACCCUCAUCCUCAAAUGCCAUUUCUUCUAUCUGUGCACAGCCCUUUAUUGUUUAUAAAGUACUCUUCCAAAAAGUUACCCUAUGUGUUAAAAAAAAGGUUUAAGUCCUUUCAGACCCUACCUCAGAGAAGGCCUAGACUUAGAGCCUUUUGGGAGCGUCCAUCUUGUUUAAUCCAGGUGCAACCAAAGGGUCCUGAAGCAAGAAGCACGAUCCCAGCUUCCCCCAAUCACUUCUAAACAGUGAUUCCAGCCUUGUUUAGAAUCACUAUGAAAACCUGCACCCCAGCUGACUGCUGGGAUCCAUAAGGGGGCAGUGUCAAAGGGACUAACAAGUGGACUCCAUCAGCAGGCACUGGAAUUCAGGACUGCUCACACCCCCUCAGUGCCGAGGACCGAGCUCAAGACCAGCUCUUCUGAUCCAGAGGUUUUCGGCAAACAGCAUUUGAAACAAACAAAAGCUUGGCUGCUCUGUUUGCCACCAAACUGUGGCUCCAGAUUCCAGUGGAAGCCAAGUGCUUUUUCUUUUACAGCUGGGCGCCUGUAAUCCCAGCUACUCAGGCAGGAGAAUCGCUUGAAUCUGGGAGGCGGGGGAUAUAGUAAGCCAAGAUUGUGCCAUUGUGCUCCAGCCCGGGCGACAAGAGUGAGACUCCAUCUCAAAAAGUAAAGAAGAAAUGCUUGGGACCAGAAAUAUUUUGGAUUUUUUUCAGAUUAAUAUUUGUUUUACCUGAAGCAAAUAUUAUUUGAGCGUCCCAACUCCGAAAUCCAAAAUGCUUAAAUGAGUAUUUCCUUUUAGAGUCAUUUCAGCUCUCAAAAAAUUUUGGAUUUUGAGCAUUUCAGAUUUUUGGAUUUGAGAUCCAUGGGUGGAUCUCAUAUAUUUCACUUGAGGGGGCUGUUGUAGAUUUUUUUUUUCAAUUGCUCAUUGUUAGUGUAUAGAAAUACAAUUGAGGCUGGGCGUGGUGGCUCAUGCCUGUAAUCCCAGCACUUUGGGAGGCCGAGGUGGCCAGAUCACUUGACUUCAGGUAUUUGAGCCCAGCCUGGCCAACAAGGAAAAAGCCUCAUCUCUGCUAAAAACACAAAAGUUAGCAAUGCAUGGUGGUGGACACCUGAUAUCCAAGCUACUGAGAUUAGAGGCUGAGACAGAAUUGCUUGAACCCAGGAGAGCCAAGAUCACAACACUGCGUUCCAGCCUGGGCAACAAAGCAAGACUCCACCUCAAAAAAAAAAAAAAAAAAAAAAAAAGGUUCUACGCCUUCUGUCCCCCAUGGUUUCUACUCAGAAAUCCACAGGCAUUAACUGUUGUUUCCCAAUAGGUAAUGCCUCAUUUUUUCCCCAGCUGCUUUUAAAGAUUUUCUCCUUGUCUUUGGUUCCCAUCAGUUUGAUUAUGAUGUAUAUGUGCAUGGAUUUCUUUGGGUUAUCCUUAUCAGAGUUCACAGAGCCUCUUGAUUGUCUUUCAAAAAUCUGGGAAGUUCUCAGCUAUGAUUUCUUCAAAUAUUGUUUUCUGCACCAUACUGUCCUGUAUUUCUGUGUCUUCGAUAACAUGAACAUUAGACCUUUUGAUAUUAUCUGUGAAUUUCUGAGUCUUCAUUUAAAAAAAAAAAAUUCUCUGGCUGGAUGUGGUGGCACAUACCUAUAGUCCCAGCUAUUUGUUGGGGCUGAGGUGGGAGUAUCACUUGAGCCCAGGAGGUCAAGACUGCAGUGAGCCGAGAUCGCACCACUGCACUUCAGCCUGGGUGACAAAGUGAGACCCUGUCUCAAAAAACCCACAAAAAUUUUCUUUUUCUCUCUGCUGCUCAUGUUGGGUAAUGUAUUAGUUUAGACUUGGUGCUGUAACAAAUUACCACAAAUUCUAUGCUUAAAAUUGCAGAAGAUCUGGGAAAAAAAAAAAUACCACAAACUUAGUGGCUCAAAACUACAUCCAUAUAUUUUUUCACAAUUUCUGUAGGCCAGGAGUCUGAUUGGACUUGACUAGGUCCUUUGCUUAGAGUCUCACAAGGUCAAAAUCACAUUUCAUAAGGCCAAAACCAAAUGUUUUUUUCCCUGGAGGCUCUGAGGAAGAAUCUGCUUCAUGUUCAUUUUGGUUCUUGGCUGAAUUUAGUUCAUUGCAGUUGCAGGGUAGAGGACCCUGUUUUCUUAGCUGUCAGCUGGGGGCCGGCCUUUGCUCCAUAGAAGCUGCCCACAUUCUGGUGCUUUCUAUGUGUCCCCCUCCAGAAAUAGCAGGUUGAAUUCUUCUUACACUUUAAAUAUCUCUUAACUUUUCCUUCUGCUACAUCUAAGUCCAGCCAGAGAGAAUCACUCUGCUUUAAAAAGACUCAUGUGAUUAGAAUAAGCCCACCUAAUAGUCCAGAAUAAUCCCAAUUUUAAAAUCAGUUACAUCUGCAGUCUCCUUUGUCAUAUAAAGUAACAUUCACAUUUUCCAGGGAAUAGAUCAGAAACAUCAUUUCCAAAUCUUGAUUCUUAUAUUUUCUUAGUUCUAAAAUUAUUAUUUAGCCUGUAAUCACAGCACUUUGAGAGGCUGAGGCGGGUGGAUCACCUGAGGUCGGGAGUUCAAGACCAGCCU